AGAGUUUGAUCCUGGCUCAGAUUGAACGCUGGCGGCAUGCUUUACACAUGCAAGUCGAACGGCAGCACGGGUGCUUGCACCUGGUGGCGAGUGGCGGACGGGUGAGUAAUACAUCGGAACGUGUCCUGAAGUGGGGGAUAACGCAUCGAAAGAUGUGCUAAUACCGCAUAUACUCUGAGGAGUAAAGUAGGGGAUCGAAAGACCUUAUGCUUUUGGAGCGGCCGAUGUCUGAUUAGCUAGUUGGUGGGGUAAUUGCCUACCAAGGCGACGAUCAGUAGUUGGUCUGAGAGGACGACCAGCCACACUGGGACUGAGACACGGCCCAGACUCCUACGGGAGGCAGCAGUGGGGAAUUUUGGACAAUGGGCGCAAGCCUGAUCCAGCAAUGCCGCGUGAGUGAAGAAGGCCUUCGGGUUGUAAAGCUCUUUCAGUUGAGAAGAAAAGACUGUAACUAAUAAUUACAGUUCAUGACGGUAUCAACAGAAGAAGCACCGGCUAACUACGUGCCAGCAGCCGCGGUAAU
RNAcentral lists this ribosomal RNA (523 nucleotides) under uncultured bacterium. RNAcentral's name for it is "bacterial SSU rRNA". It matches the Rfam family "Bacterial small subunit ribosomal RNA", at positions 8 to 524 of the family's 1533-position model. The record is from RNAcentral.